GACGAACGUUGGCGGCGUGCUUAAUACAUGCAAGUCAACUGAAGCAGUGGUAGCAAUAUCGCUGUGGAGGUGGCGCACGGGUGAGUAACACGUAGGUAAUCUGCCUUCAGGUCUGGCAUAACUCCGGGAAACCGGGGCUAAUAGCAGAUGAUGCAGCGGCUCGACAUCGAGACAGUUGUUAAAGCUAUGGCGCCUGAAGAUGAGCCUGCGUCUGAUUAGCUAGUUGGCGGGGUAACGGCCCACCAAGGCAACGAUCAGUAGCUGGUCUGAGAGGAUGAUCAGCAACACUGGAACGGAGACACGGUCCAGACGCCUACGGGGGGCAGAAGUAAGGAAAAUUGCUCAAUGGGAGAAAUCCUGAAGCAGCAACGCCGCGUGAGGGACGAAGGGCUUUGGCUUGUAAACCUCUGUAGUGAGAGAAAAAAAUCCCAAUCUUUGGGACAUGAUGGUAUCUCAAAAGUAAGCCCCGGCUAACUACGUG
Molecule: ribosomal RNA, 481 nt
Filed under: uncultured bacterium
Lineage: Bacteria
Description: partial 16S ribosomal RNA
Rfam family: Bacterial small subunit ribosomal RNA
Source: RNAcentral